Molecule: unclassified non-coding RNA, 539 nt
Filed under: Leishmania donovani
Lineage: Eukaryota; Euglenozoa; Kinetoplastea; Trypanosomatida; Trypanosomatidae
Description: gene:unknown
Source: RNAcentral
AAGUGAGCGCGACCCCGCACACGAAAACGGGGAAACACCCAUGCGCCGACAAAGGUACUCACUCCCGCGCACUGGGUAGGCGGAAUGCUGAGCGGCAUCGCCGGCAUCUGUCUGUGCGCGGUAGGCGGCACAGGUGGCGCUUCUGCCUGUUGUGCGGCAUGCUCCCGGAUGCCCUGACGUGUGUUCCUUCCCCGAUUACCCGCGCAGCUCGAGCGCUGGCGGGUGCGGCGCGCGGCACAUCUGCCGGCCUCCUCUCCUGAUCCUUUUUGCCUGUGUGCAUGCCAGCCACUACUGGCCCAUGCGCUCCCGCUGUGCACGCCUGGCAGUCUCACCUGCCUGUCUCCUCCCCCUGCCCCCCCCACUCUCUGUCUCUCCGGCCCUUCCCUCUCUCUCCUCGCCGCAUUCCACUCGUGCCCGCGCUGCCCAUCCGUCUUUGUCCUCUCGCCACACGCGCGCACAACCAAACGAACGCCGACAACGCGCGCGUGCACAUGCAACGGCGACACGUGCACGUCUGCAUAUCUGCAUAUGCUGUCAAG